Molecule: ribosomal RNA, 181 nt
Filed under: uncultured bacterium
Lineage: Bacteria
Description: partial 16S ribosomal RNA
Rfam family: Bacterial small subunit ribosomal RNA
Source: RNAcentral
CAUGAAGCUGGAAUUGCUAGUAAUGGCAGGUCAGCAUACUGCCGUGAAUACGUUCCCGGGCCUUGUACACACCGCCCGUCACACCAUGAGAGUUGGAAAUACCCGAAGCCUGUGAGCUAACUUAAAGAGGCAGCAGUCGAAGGUAGAGCCAAUGAUUGGGGUGAAGUCGUAACAAGGUAGC